UCCGGGCGAUCGGUCAGCAGGGUGAUGCGCAGGAAAUUCUUCUGCUUCGCAAACGCGAUCGCGUAAUCGAGCAGCAUCGAGCCGUAGCCUUUGCCCUGGAACGUUUUGUGGAUGACGAGGUCCUCGAGCAGGAUGACGAAGCCGCCUUCCGCCGUGCUGAUCGUGAAGAGGAGGUUGAUCAUCCCCACGAUCG
This 193-nucleotide unclassified non-coding RNA is filed under the name plant metagenome. RNAcentral's name for it is "partial contains 5.8S ribosomal RNA, internal transcribed spacer 2, and large subunit ribosomal RNA". The record is from RNAcentral.